UUUGAAUGGAGAGUUCGAUCCUGGCUCAGGAUGAACGCUGGCGGCGCGCCUAACACAUGCAAGUCGAACGAUUAAAGCACCUUCGGGUGUGUAUAAAGUGGCGAACGGCUGAGUAACACGUGGGCAACCUGCCCCUCUCAUUGGGAUAGCCACGGGAAACCGUGGAUAAUACCGAAUACUUCGAGACUUCCGCAUGGAAGACUCGAGAAAGCUCCGGCGGAGAGGGAUGGGCCCGCGGCCUGUUAGCUUGUUGGUGGGGUAACGGCCUACCAAGGCAAUGAUGGGUAGCUGGGUUGAGAGACCGACCAGCCAGAUUGGGACUGAGACACGGCCCAGACUCCUACGGGAGGCAGCAGUGGGGAAUCUUGCAC
Molecule: ribosomal RNA, 371 nt
Filed under: Lachnospiraceae bacterium
Lineage: Bacteria; Bacillati; Bacillota; Clostridia; Lachnospirales; Lachnospiraceae
Description: bacterial SSU rRNA
Rfam family: Bacterial small subunit ribosomal RNA
Source: RNAcentral